Aegilops tauschii subsp. strangulata is the source of this 2010-nucleotide long non-coding RNA. RefSeq lists it as uncharacterized. Lineage: Eukaryota; Viridiplantae; Streptophyta; Magnoliopsida; Poales; Poaceae. The record is from RefSeq and is a predicted model, not a curated record.
GGCAUUUUAAGGUAAGACUUACAAUGGCGCAGCCGGUCUCAAGCCCGGAAAAAGGAGGAGAGACCACCCAUGUGUGCCGGAUCACGUACAUGUGUGCAACAUACAUGCACGUGAUCCAGCACACAUAUAUAUUACAACCUAGGUUGGUGAGGCAGAGUAUUAUAUAUAACAAAGCUUUGUGUUGUCAUACGAAUUUCUAUUGUGUUCUUUGUUUGUGGUGACAUAAAUGAGACUAGCAUGAAAAGCUUUAUUACAGGCAGCAUAGCUUGUUGCUUGCCAAAGUGAAGAAUGGCGUGUGAAGAAGUGAAGAAACUGCAGGCACUAAGUUUACAGCAAACCACACAUGAAAAUACUCUGCAUACCAAAUAGGAUUUUGGUUGGGCCCUGCCGAAAAUAAAGUGAGUGCUGAGACAAACUCAUUUCAGUCGGGGAAGUAUGAGUUUGCUUGAUCUGUCAUGUUUUGACUUGCUAGUACAACAUGGCUGUCAACGAUAUAUGCCCAUAUACACAUAUGGUGUUUGCACAAGGGCAUGAUUACUUUUAAAUGGCGAUGUGCUCUCCAAAGAAGAAAAUGGAGAAAGAAACUGCAGGUCCUGUCAGUUAAUUGCAGCUUCAACACCAACACCUACUUAAAAUCGGUGCAAUAAAGCCUUGAGGUGCUCAGGAUGAGAAAAACAAAAGCCUAAGAUGAAAUUGGGACUGGUGUGUCUACCCAGCUACUUAUUCAGCGUAGAAACCCCAUUUACAACAACUUUGUUUGCUUCAAUUAACUGCAACAAUUUAGUAGCUGCAACAAGGACAUCAAGCAUCAGCCAAUACUAAGAGAGUGAAUCCCACUUGUAGUUGUAAUUCAUCCCUUGCUUCCUAACUAGCUACUAGAUUCACAAAUUAUUCCUACUACUGAGUUUAGUUGCUACACAUGAGUUCAUCAACAGACCAUUCUCUUACCAACUGGCAUAAAAUUAAGAUGCACUUACCAGAGAUUACAGCUGCUUCCCAUUCUCUUACCCCUGAUACCUACUCCGGAAUCAGCCAGCACGGCCCUCCGUGUCAACUGAAAGAAUGUGGCCCAAAGAAAUGGUUUCAUGUUUACGCUGAUUUGGAGCUACACAUCGCUAACUGAAACCAAUUCAGCAACGAUGAACAGCAAGAAAGAUUCUGCAAAUACAUGCAAACAGAGCAACCACAAGGCUACAACACAAGUGAAUACCAGAGCUACUAAUACAGAUCUCGGUCGCAGGCAGUAACGAAUCUGUUAUAGGUUAUGGUGAACAAAGCUAAACAGCUGUUGCUAUGGAAAUGCAGCUCUCUGCUCUUCCUCUUCCAUGAUGGCACCCAAACUCUACAUGGAUGGCUAUGGUAGUCUGCAAACAGUCUCUUUCUUUUUUUUGCAAAAUCAAACAGUCUAAAAUUGAUACACUAGCAACAAGAUAAUUGUGGUUAAUCGCUGGUGCUGCUGUGCGGCCUGUAGGUAGAUGUCUGUUCUAAAGCAGCAUAAAAGCUAAGGAUGCAGAGUCCUGUCAGAUCUUGUUCGAUCCCUGCAAGUAAAAGAAGCGCAGAGCUGGCAUUUGGGUUCUUGAUAGGAGGGCCAAGCAUUUGAGCAUUCUUGAGUUAUUUCUUCGAAUCGUUAUCCAACAUAUAUGUUCUUGGAGAAACUGCAGGUCGCUUGUGUUACUGAUGCUCUAUGCAUAAGUAUUCCUUAUCUGAACAUUGCAGGGAAAGACAACACCUGAGACUCUGAAUAAGUCUUUCCAUUCAGCCUCAGCGCCAAUACCUGCAUGCAUUCCCUUACAAAAAACACUUCCAUGCGGCCGGUGAUCGUGCAUUAUCAACGCCAUGGCCAACCUGUUGGCACAAGCCUUGAGAUCACAAUGAGGAAAUCAAUAUCUAUGUUGUGUUUGUUAUUGUAAAGAGGAUUUACAAGUGUACCUAGCUAUCUGGUUGUUCAAAGUCUCAACAUACAACAUCAUAUGUUCCUCAUCUAUUUACCAGAGGAUUGAGCUUUGAAAA